Molecule: long non-coding RNA, 1117 nt
Organism: Grus americana (Whooping crane)
Lineage: Eukaryota; Metazoa; Chordata; Aves; Gruiformes; Gruidae
Exons: 3
Source: RefSeq, a predicted model, not a curated record
UGAUCAUCAACAUUUUUAAUAAGGUAGAAAGAAAAGCACUUUCCAAACUUACCUUUAGCACAGCCAAAUCAUGAACUAAAUAUAAAUAUUUACACUAGGACAAGGAAUUAAUAACGUGAGCGUGCAAACAAAAAUACUUGCUAGAAAACGCACACAGCAAAAAUAAGAAAACCCUCCUAAGUUCAAAGCAAUCAAAUCAACUCGUUAGCCCCCGGGAAGGCCGUUAUUUAUCACCACGUUACGCCCGAAACAGUCAGGAUUAGAGAGGAGAAAAACCGAUCGUGACUCUGAUCUAUUUAAGAGACCGUUCACUGCGUAAGAAAACACCUCGGAUCGCAGGCGAAAGCCUUCCUAUCUGUGACCCUGCACAGGAAAUGCCACAUAAAACCUAAAAUUGCCAAGGAAGGUUACAAAAUCUCCUGCUUUACAUCCUAUUGCGAAGAGUCGCUACGAGAACCGAACUACUUCUGCAUUUUCCAGAAAUUAAGUAGAGUGGGUGUUACGAGCGUUUAUUCCCCCCCGCCGUGUACCUUCCAAAUGCAUCUUAAAGUAACACACGUACCAAAGGAGAAAAAAAAAAAAAACAACCCCACAGCAGCCCUUAAGUCUGAAAUGUAAAUGUAAUUCCUUAUAUAGACUGCAGCAGUUGGUCACACACGCACGGAGAGCGGAGCGGGGGCCCCCAGCCAAACCGUUACCACCCAUUAUUAUACAAACAGUGCUCGGCCGGAACCUUGUUGCCAGGGGAGACGGGUGCUUUACGGCAGGACGUUUGAACCGCGGCGGGGGAAAAGUUGCGGCCGCAGGUCUGAUCAAGAAACGAACAGCUGGACGAAAGUGAUGCCGUUCCCACCAUAUGUGAAAUCUGUCGUUCUUGGGCUUUCCUUAAUCAUACUUCCUGCUUUUACAAAGAGGAGAAGAGGUAUAACAUUUUAUGCCCUAAAAAAUAAAAAGAGAAGGGAGCUAUUUUUUACAGAUAAUGAAUAAAGAACUUAAUUUAGACUUAAUAAACAUGUUUAAUGUAUUACCGAUGAAAACAUCAUCAAACACUCGUACUAUUGAUUUACUCUUGCCUUUCAGUUUUCACUUCAGGCAAUAAAAUAAUUUAUUAAGCUUC